GUUAGAUUGACAGAUUAAUGUAUUAAUUUUAGAAUUUAAUUAUGUAGUUUUAUAUUACAUCUAAUA
RNAcentral lists this transfer RNA (66 nucleotides) under Olidiana obliquea. Its description in RNAcentral is "tRNA-Leu". Lineage: Eukaryota; Metazoa; Arthropoda; Insecta; Hemiptera; Cicadellidae. The record is from RNAcentral.